CCCGCACAAGCGGUGGAGCAUGUGGUUUAAUUUGAAGCAACGCGAAGAACCUUACCAGGUCUUGACAUCUCCUGACAAUCCUAGAGAUAGGACGUUCCCCUUUGGGGGACAGGAUGACAGGUGGUGCAUGGUUGUCGUCAGCUCGUGUCGUGAGAUGUUGGGUUAAGUCCCGCAACGAGCGCAACCCUUGAUCUUAGUUGCCAGCAUUUAGUUGGGCACUUUAAGGUGACUGCCGGUGACAAACCGGAGGAAGGUGGGGAUGACGUCAAAUCAUCAUGCCCCUUAUGACCUGGGCUACACACGUGGUACAAUGGAUGGUACAAAGGGCAGCAAAACCGCGAGGUCGAGCCAAUCCCAUAAAACCAUUUUCAGUUCGGAUUGUAGGUUGCAACUUGCCUACAUGAAGCUGGAAUCGCUAGUAAUCGCGGAUCAGCAUGCCGCGGUGAAUACGUUCCCGGGCCUUGUACACACCGCCCGUCACACCACGAGAGUUUGUAACACCCGAAGUCGGUGGGGUAACCUUUUAGGAGCCAGCCGCCUAAGGUGGGAUAGAUGAU
Molecule: ribosomal RNA, 557 nt
Filed under: Bacillus sp. CDM6
Lineage: Bacteria; Bacillati; Bacillota; Bacilli; Caryophanales; Bacillaceae
Description: bacterial SSU rRNA
Rfam family: Bacterial small subunit ribosomal RNA
Source: RNAcentral